UUUAGUAAAUUAACUGAAGUAUUUUACUAAAUGAAACAUCACCAGAGAACUUCACUGGACAUGGGAGAUAAUUAACGGAGAUAGAGACCAUGAU
Corapipo altera (White-ruffed manakin) is the source of this 94-nucleotide long non-coding RNA. RefSeq lists it as uncharacterized. The record is from RefSeq and is a predicted model, not a curated record. The transcript is spliced from 3 exons. Lineage: Eukaryota; Metazoa; Chordata; Aves; Passeriformes; Pipridae.